RNAcentral lists this ribosomal RNA (736 nucleotides) under uncultured Gemmatimonas sp. RNAcentral's name for it is "bacterial SSU rRNA". It matches the Rfam family "Bacterial small subunit ribosomal RNA", at positions 28 to 776 of the family's 1533-position model. Lineage: Bacteria; Pseudomonadati; Gemmatimonadota; Gemmatimonadia; Gemmatimonadales; Gemmatimonadaceae. The record is from RNAcentral.
GACGAACGCUGGCGGCGUGCUUAACACAUGCAAGUCACGGGGGCCCGCAAGGGUAACCGGCGAACGGGUGCGUAACACGUGAACAAUCUGCCUAGAUGUGGGGGAUAGCCGGCCCAACGGCCGGGUAAUACCGCAUACGCUCUUCGGGUGGCAUCACUUGAAGAGGAAACCUCCGGGGCAUCUAGAGGAGUUCGCGGCCUAUCAGCUAGUUGGUGGGGUAACGGCCUACCAAGGCAAUGACGGGUAGCUGGUCUGGGAGGAUGGCCAGCCACAUUGGGACUGAGAUACGGCCCAGACUCCUACGGGAGGCAGCAGUGGGGAAUAUUGCGCAAUGGCCGAAAGGCUGACGCAGCGACGCCGCGUGGGGGAUGAAGCAUUUCGGUGUGUAAACCCCUGUUGCCCGGGACGAACAAGCGAUUUUGAUCGCUCUGACGGUACCGGGUGAGGAAGCACCGGCUAACUCCGUGCCAGCAGCCGCGGUAAUACGGAGGGUGCGAGCGUUGUCCGGAAUCACUGGGCGUAAAGGGCGCGUAGGCGGUCUGCUAAGCGUGUGGUGAAAGCUCGGGGCUCAACCCCGAGUCUGCCAUGCGAACUGGUGGACUAGAGCACUGUAGAGGCAGGUGGAAUUCCGGGUGUAGCGGUGGAAUGCGUAGAGAUCCGGAAGAACACCAGUGGCGAAGGCGGCCUGCUGGGCAGUAGCUGACGCUGAGGCGCGAUAGCGUGGGGAGCAAACAGG